RNAcentral lists this ribosomal RNA (1083 nucleotides) under Methylobacterium pseudosasicola. RNAcentral describes it as "bacterial LSU rRNA". It matches the Rfam family "Bacterial large subunit ribosomal RNA", at positions 399 to 1470 of the family's 2925-position model. The record is from RNAcentral. Lineage: Bacteria; Pseudomonadati; Pseudomonadota; Alphaproteobacteria; Hyphomicrobiales; Methylobacteriaceae.
CCACAGGACUCGAGUAGGGCGGGACACGUGAAAUCCUGUCUGAACAUGGGGGGACCACCCUCCAAGCCUAAGUACUCCUCAGCGACCGAUAGCGAACCAGUACCGUGAGGGAAAGGUGAAAAGCACCCCGACGAGGGGAGUGAAACAGCACCUGAAACCGGAUGCUUACAAACAGUGGGAGCUCAAGGUUCGUCCUGAGUGACCGCGUACCUUUUGUAUAAUGGGUCAGCGACUUAAAGUUACGAGCGAGCUUAAGCCGAUAGGUGGAGGCGCAGCGAAAGCGAGUCUGAACAGGGCGUUCAGUUCGUGGCUUUAGACCCGAAACCGAGUGAUCUAGCCAUGUGCAGGAUGAAGGUGGGGUAACACCCACUGGAGGUCCGAACCAGUGCCCGUUGAAAAGGUCUUGGAUGACGUGUGGCUAGGGGUGAAAGGCCAAUCAAACUCGGAAAUAGCUGGUUCUCCGCGAAAGCUAUUUAGGUAGCGCCUCGCGUGAAUACCUCACGGGGUAGAGCACUGGAUGGGCUAGGGCCGCCCACAGCGGUACCAAACCCAACCAAACUCCGAAUACGUGAGAGUACUGCGCGGGAGACACACGGCGGGUGCUAACGUCCGUCGUGGAGAGGGAAACAACCCUGACCGACAGCUAAGGCCCCCAAUUCGUGGCUAAGUGGGAAAGGAUGUGGGACUCCCAAAACAACCAGGAGGUUGGCUUAGAAGCAGCCAUCCUUUAAAGAAAGCGUAACAGCUCACUGGUCUAAAUAAGGGGUCCUGCGCCGAAAAUGUAACGGGGCUCAAGCCACGAGCCGAAGCUUCGGAUGCAGUCCUUCGGGGCUGCGUGGUAGCGGAGCGUUCCCUAGGCCUGUGAAGCGGCACCUGUGAGGGGCCGUGGAGGUAUGGGAAGUGCGAAUGCUGACAUGAGUAACGACAAAGAGUGUGAAAGACACUCUCGCCGAAAGUCCAAGGGUUCCUGCGUAAAGUUAAUCUGCGCAGGGUUAGCCGGCCCCUAAGGCGAGGCCGAAAGGCGUAGUCGAUGGGAACGGGGCGAACAUUCCCCGGCCAGCGGAUGGUGACGGAUGCCGUGUA